CGGUAAUACGUAGGGUGCAAGCGUUAAUCGGAAUUACUGGGCGUAAAGCGUGCGCAGGCGGUUUUGUAAGUCUGAUGUGAAAUCCCCGGGCUCAACCUGGGAAGUGCAUUGGAGACUGCAAGGCUAGAAUCUGGCAGAGGGGGGUAGAAUUCCACGUGUAGCAGUGAAAUGCGUAGAGAUGUGGAGGAACACCGAUGGCGAAGGCAGCCCCCUGGGUCAAAAUUGACGCUCAUGCACGAAAGCGUGGGGAGCAAACAGGAUUAGAUACCCUGGUAGUCCACGCCCUAAACGAUGUCUACUAGUUGUCGGGUUUUAAUUAACUUGGUAACGCAGCUAACGCGUGAAGUAGACCGCCUGGGGAGUACGGUCGCAAGAUUAAA
RNAcentral lists this ribosomal RNA (380 nucleotides) under uncultured bacterium. RNAcentral describes it as "bacterial SSU rRNA". It matches the Rfam family "Bacterial small subunit ribosomal RNA", at positions 518 to 898 of the family's 1533-position model. The record is from RNAcentral.